GAGUCUGUUAGAGGGGGGGUAGGAAUCCCAGGGUGUAGCGGUGAAAAGCGUAAGAGAUCUGGAGGAAUACCCGGUGGCGAAGGCGGCCCCCUGGACAAAGACUGACGCUCAGGUGCGAAAGCGUGGGGAGCAAACAGGAUUAGAUACCCUGGUAGUCCACGCCGUAAACGAUGUCGAUUUGGAGGUUGUGCCCUUGAGGCGUGGCUUCCGGAGCUAACGCGUUAAAUCGACCGCCUGGGGAGUACGGCCGCAAGGUUAAAACUCAAAUGAAUUGACGGGGGCCCGCACAAGCGGUGGAGCAUGUGGUUUAAUUCGAUGCAACGCGAAGAACCUUACCUGGUCUUGACAUCCACAGAACUUUCCAGAGAUGGAUUGGUGCCUUCGGGAACUGUGAGACAGGUGCUGCAUGGCUGUCGUCAGCUCGUGUUGUGAAAUGUUGGGUUAAGUCCCGCAACGAGCGCAACCCUUAUCCUUUGUUGCCAGCGGUUCGGCCGGGAACUCAAAGGAGACUGCCAGUGAUAAACUGGAGGAAGGUGGGGAUGACGUCAAGUCAUCAUGGCCCUUACGACCAGGGCUACACACGUGCUACAAUGGCAUAUACAAAGAGAAGCGACCUCGCGAGAGCAAGCGGACCUCAUAAAGUAUGUCGUAGUCCGGAUUGGAGUCUGCAACUCGACUCCAUGAAGUCGGAAUCGCUAGUAAUCGUAGAUCAGAAUGCUACGGUGAAUACGUUCCCGGGCCUUGUACACACCGCCCGUCACUGCCAUGGGAGUGGGUUGCAAAAGAAGUAGGUAGCUUAACCUUCGGGAGGGCGCUUACCACUUUUGAUUCCAUUGUCG
RNAcentral lists this ribosomal RNA (839 nucleotides) under Klebsiella pneumoniae. RNAcentral describes it as "bacterial SSU rRNA". It matches the Rfam family "Bacterial small subunit ribosomal RNA", at positions 642 to 1477 of the family's 1533-position model. The record is from RNAcentral. Lineage: Bacteria; Pseudomonadati; Pseudomonadota; Gammaproteobacteria; Enterobacterales; Enterobacteriaceae.